GAUUAGUACCGUGAGGGAAUGGUGAAAAGUACCCCGGGAGGGGAGUGAAAUAGUACCUGAAACCGUGUGCCUACAAUCCGUCAGAGCCUCCUCGUGGGGUGAUGGCGUGCCUUUUGAAGAAUGAGCCUGCGAGUCAGGGACACGUCGCGAGGUUAACCCGUGCGGGGUAGCCGCAGCGAAAGCGAGUCUGAAUAGGGCGCAUCCCCUUUGGGGUGUAGUGGCGUGUUCUGGACCCGAAGCGGAGUGAUCUACCCAUGGCCAGGGUGAAGCGCGGGUAAGACCGCGUGGAGGCCCGAACCCACUUAGGUUGAAGACUGAGGGGAUGAGCUGUGGGUAGGGGUGAAAGGCCAAUCAAACUCCGUGAUAGCUGGUUCUCCCCGAAAUGCAUUUAGGUGCAGCGUUGCGUGGUUCACCACGGAGGUAGAGCUACUGGAUGGCCGAUGGGCCCUACUAGGUUACUGACGUCAGCCAAACUCCGAAUGCCGUGGUGUAAAGCGUGGCAGUGAGACGGCGGGGGAUAAGCUCCGUACGUCGAAAGGGAAACAGCCCAGAUCGCCGGCUAAGGCCCCUAAGCGUGUGCUAAGUGGAAAAGGAUGUGUAGUCGCAGAGACAACCAGGAGGUUGGCUUAGAAGCAGCCACCCUUGAAAGAGUGCGUAAUAGCUCACUGGUCAAGUGAUUAUGCGCCGAUAAUGUAGCGGGGCUCAAGCACACCGCCGAAGCCGCGGCACAUUCAUCUUUACGGUGGAUGUGGGUAGGGGAGCGUCCCCCAUUCAGCGAAGCCUCCGGGUGACCGGUGGUGGAGGGUGGGGGAGUGAGAAUGCAGGCAUGAGUAGCGAUAAGGCAAGUGAGAACCUUGCCCGCCGUAAGACCAAGGGUUCCUGGGCCAGGCCAGUCCGCCCAGGGUGAGGCGGGACCUAAGGCGAGGCCGACAGGCGUAGUCGAUGGACAACGGGUUGAUAUUCCCGUACCCGUGUAUGGGCGUCCCUGAUGAAUCAGCGGUACUAACCACCCAAAACCGGAUCGACCAUUCCCCUUCGGGGGCGUGGCGAUUCGGGGCUGCGUGGGACCUUCGCUGGUAGUAGUCAAGCAAUGGGGUGACGCAGGAAGGCAGCCGUACCAGUCAGUGGUAAUACUGGGG
This 1139-nucleotide ribosomal RNA is filed under the name Mycobacterium timonense. RNAcentral describes it as "bacterial LSU rRNA". It matches the Rfam family "Bacterial large subunit ribosomal RNA", at positions 486 to 1596 of the family's 2925-position model. The record is from RNAcentral. Lineage: Bacteria; Bacillati; Actinomycetota; Actinomycetes; Mycobacteriales; Mycobacteriaceae.